Drosophila navojoa is the source of this 326-nucleotide long non-coding RNA. Lineage: Eukaryota; Metazoa; Arthropoda; Insecta; Diptera; Drosophilidae. The record is from RefSeq and is a predicted model, not a curated record.
CAACGGCAAAACCCGUUUUACGUGGCGUAUGAGUAAUGCGGAAGUUGACACUUGCUCGUGCUCGCUGCUCCCCUCCUCUCUCGAUUAGACCCAGGCAAAAAGAUGCCAAAACUCAUUUGGUUUUUGGAGCCACAGCCUCCAAUAUUAAUGAUGCACUCGCAGCAAAUUUGUUAAACUCCACGAAGCAGAAGAUGGCAAACAAAAAAUCAAGAGAGAUGCAGAGUCGCAGGCGGAGGCAGAGAAAAAACGUCGCCUCGCCGUGCAACCUGUCAAUAAGCAGCGAUGAGUUAUGUCGCAGACCCUUUUACUUUCUUUUCCCAGCGUCC